CGAACGCUGGCGGCGUGCUUACCACAUGCACGUCGCACGGAAAGGCCCUGCUUUUGUGGGGUGCUCGAGUGGCGAACGGGUGAGUAACACGUGAGUAACCUGCCCUUGACUUUGGGAUAACUUCAGGAAACUGGGGCUAAUACCGGAUAGGAGCUCCUGCUGCAUGGUGGGGGUUGGAAAGUUUCGGCGGUUGGGGAUGGACUCGCGGCUUAUCAGCUUGUUGGUGGGGUAGUGGCUUACCAAGGCUUUGACGGGUAGCCGGCCUGAGAGGGUGACCGGCCACAUUGGGACUGAGAUACGGCCCAGACUCCUACGGGAGGCAGCAGUGGGGAAUAUUGCACAAUGGGCGGAAGCCUGAUGCAGCAACGCCGCGUGCGGGAUGACGGCCUUCGGGUUGUAAACCGCUUUCGCCUGUGACGAAGCGUGAGUGACGGUAAUGGGUAAAGAAGCACCGGCUAACUACGUG
RNAcentral lists this ribosomal RNA (466 nucleotides) under uncultured bacterium. RNAcentral's name for it is "partial 16S ribosomal RNA". It matches the Rfam family "Bacterial small subunit ribosomal RNA", at positions 30 to 507 of the family's 1533-position model. The record is from RNAcentral.